This 798-nucleotide ribosomal RNA is filed under the name Thyronectria ilicicola. Its description in RNAcentral is "eukaryotic LSU rRNA". It matches the Rfam family "Eukaryotic large subunit ribosomal RNA", at positions 99 to 927 of the family's 3401-position model. The record is from RNAcentral. Lineage: Eukaryota; Fungi; Ascomycota; Sordariomycetes; Hypocreales; Nectriaceae.
CGGCAACAGCUCAAAUUUGAAAUCUGGCCCCCGUGGUCCGAGUUGUAAUUUGUAGAGGAUGCUUUUGGUGAGGUGCCUUCCGAGUUCCCUGGAACGGGACGCCACAGAGGGUGAGAGCCCCGUCUGGUCGGACACCACAACCUCUGUAAAGCUCCUUCGACGAGUCGAGUAGUUUGGGAAUGCUGCUCUAAAUGGGAGGUAUAUGUCUUCUAAAGCUAAAUACCGGCCAGAGACCGAUAGCGCACAAGUAGAGUGAUCGAAAGAUGAAAAGCACUUUGAAAAGAGGGUUAAAUAGUACGUGAAAUUGUUGAAAGGGAAGCGUUUGUGACCAGACUUGGGCCCGGUUAAUCAUCCAGCGUUCUUCGCUGGUGCACUUGGCCGGCCCAGGCCAGCAUCAGUUUGCCGCGGGGGAUAAAGGCUUCGGGAACGUGGCUCCUCUGGAGUGUUAUAGCCCGUUGCGUAAUACCCUGCGGCGGACUGAGGUUCGCGCAUCUGCAAGGAUGCUGGCGUAAUGGUCAUCAACGACCCGUCUUGAAACACGGACCAAGGAGUCGUCUUCGUAUGCGAGUGUUCGGGUGUCAAACCCCUACGCGUAAUGAAAGUGAACGGAGGUGGGAGCCUCGGCGCACCAUCGACCGAUCCUGAUGUUUUCGGAUGGAUUUGAGUAAGAGCAUACGGGGCCGGACCCGAAAGAAGGUGAACUAUGCCUGUAUAGGGUGAAGCCAGAGGAAACUCUGGUGGAGGCUCGCAGCGGUUCUGACGUGCAAAUCGAUCGUCAAAUAUGGGCAUGGGGGCGAA